CUUUUUCAAAUCUGGUGUUUCCUAUUUUGCAUGGGAUUGUGAACAUUCCUGGAUCUUUACAUUUAGGAGGCAUUUUUCUUUGAAGAACAGCAGAUACAUUUUCUCCAACUGUGACUCUUUCAUCAUUUUGCAAUUUUCUUUUAUUAGUGCAUAAUUCUUUUAAAAAUUUAGCAUACCGUGGUACUUGUUUAAUUGCAUCAAGAAGAGGGAUGUUCACUUCUACUUUUCUAAAAGUUUCCAAAAUUUCUUUUUCUUUUUCAUUGUUCUUUGAAGUUUUAGAAAUUCUGGAAGGAAAGGGAAGAGGAAUGUUUUUAAGCUGAUUAGGAGGUUUAGGUUGUACCUUGGAUUUUUCUGUUCCCUCCUUAGCUGCUUCCUUCUUGAACUCUACGGGGGUCGGUGGUGUAUCCAACUGUGUUCCAUUCCGUAAAGUUAUGGCACUUGCAUUCUCCCUUGGGUUGACUACUGUUUGAGAUGGUAAUUUUCCUGAGCCUCUAGAUUCCAAUAUCCCCACAGUUGUAGCCAGUUGUCCUACUUGGUUCCUCAAAUCUUGAACCGAAGUUUUUGUCUCUUGCUGGAACUGCUGUGUCUGAUUCAUGAACUGUUGUGUCUGUCCCAUGAAUGCUUUGAACAUAUCCUCCAAUGAUGUUCCAGUAGGUGCAUGGACUGCUUGCUUCGGUUGAUAUUGAGGUUGGGCUGGUUGGAAGCCCUGCUGCCUAGGUGGAAAUGCAGGUGGUGCCGCUUGCUUGCUCCCAUAACUCAGACUUGGAUGAUCCCUCCAUCCUGGGUUAUAUGUGUUUGAGUACGGAUCAUACUUUUUCUGAGGUGGUGGCUGAUAAUUUCCCAUUGCAUUAGCUUGUUGCACAGCCUCGUCAUCUUGUAAUGUUGGGCAUUCAUCUGUAUUGUGAUUUGGUUGUAGACAUAUUCCACAAACCUUUGCAAUUGGCAAUUGACCUGUAGCUAAUUGUCUAACCAUAGCAGUUAAUUCAGAAAUUUGUUGACCAUAAUCACAAGUGCUUACCUCGCUUACCCUUACUGGUGCAUGAUUUGUUCUAGUGCCAUAUUGUUGUGAGUUUGCUGCCAUGUUUGCAAUUAAAUUCCUUGCCGCCUCUGGGGUCUUGUCAAAUAGUGCUCCUCCGCUAGCUGCAUCGAUCAUGCUUCUAUCCAUCGGUACCAACCCUUCGUAGAAAUACUGGAUCAGGUGUUGUUCAUCUAUUUGAUGCGGUGGACAGCUGGAACAAAGUUUUUUGAAUCUUUCCCAAUACUCGUAUAAUGUCUCCCCACUGAAUUGUCUAAUCCCACAGAUCUCCUUCCUUAUGUUGGCUACUCUUGAGGCUGGAAAGUAUCUCUCCAAGAAUAGCUGCUUCAUGUCAUUCCAAGACUGUAUUGAACCUGAGGGUAGGUAGUACAACCAAUCCUUUGCCAAAUCUGCUAGGGAGAAUGGGAAUGCUCUCAGCUUGAUUUGUUCUUCGGUGAUUCCGUUUGGUUUCAUAGUAGAGCACACCACAUGAAAUUCCUUCAGAUGUUUGUAGGGGUCUUCACCUGUAAGACCACGAAAAGUAGGCAGUAAAUGGAUUAGUCCAGAUUUAAGUUCAAAUGCAGCAUCUAAAUUAGGAUAUUCAAUGCACAGAGGUUGUUGAUUUAAAUUAGGAGUUGCCAACUCCCUGAGAGUUCUAUUGUUGUUUGGAAUCGCCAUCUCUUCUUCUUUGUCGGAUUCGUUGGAUAAUAAUUCCAAAGCUAAGUUGAGGCCUGGUGAUGAUGCAGAAGCCUCGUCUAUAUAUGCAGAAGACUGUUGAACUUUAAGUUUUUCCUUCUUUAGCCUCCUUGCAGUUUUCUCAAUCUCUGGAUCAAAAUCUAAUAUAGUAGCCUGAGAAGAUCGAGUCAUAAAACAAAAACAAAACAAAUAAUAGAAUAAAAACAAAACGCCAAAUUACUCCCCGGCAACGGCGCCAAAAUUUGGGAGCUGUCGUUGACACUCCUAAAUUAACCUCACUUUCACUCCACAAUUUACAAUAAUUAGCACAGUAGCAAGUAAGGAUCGAUCCCACAGAGAGUAAAGUUGUUUUAGAAUUAUUCUACUAUUUGAACAAAAAAAUAAAGAUGGGGGGUUUUGAAAAUUGUUUUUAAACUAAGAGAACAAGAAUUAAUGAUGAAAUUAACCAAAUAUGUAAAAACUUCAGUUCUGCAGUUCAGUUUCACCAAGUACAACAAUCAAUUAAUCAAGUAAUUAUUAUUUUCCCUUCAAUGAAAUUAUUAGCCCUAGAUAACAAUAAGCUCUGCUAUCCGAAAUUCUCCUUAGAUUAUCACUGUAUGAAACAAGCUCUCCACCAGAUUCUAACUAGCAUACAACUUAGGAAUAAGCUCUCUAGAUUUAAUAUGAUAGAAGCAUUAAGAAAUAGAGAAUUAGGCUAAUCCAAGCAACAAACACAUAAGCUCGAUUUGUUUAACUUGUUUUCUGAUGAUCUUAGCAAUAAACAAAAGCUUGUCCACAAUUAUUAUUACCAAGUUGCUACUUGUAAUGAAGAGAGAUAUCAAUUACACGUAAUACCAAUCUUAAUCUAGCACAUGAUAAUGAUCAAAUUAACUCAAUUGGCCAUAUUAAAUCAAUUAGAUCAAUUAGCAUGCAAUCAAUAAAAAUAGAUUAUCAGAAGAAAUUUCACACAAGAAGGAAUAAAUAAUAAUACUCAAUUAAUCAAUUACUUGUAACAAGGAUUCACCUCCCUUUAGAACUGAAUAAAAAGAACUGACAUGCUCUUGAGCCUUCAACCAAUAGAGGAUAGUUGAAUAUUGAAUAAUUGAAUGAAUAAAACCAUGACUCUCAUCCUCUAUUUAUAGUGCUAGACAAAGUCCUAAAUCCUAUAGGAAGUAGAAAUCUCAAUCCUAAAAGAAUUAUAAAUUACACUAAUUUCCAUAAAGAAAUAGAAUUCAAUUUAGAAAUAAAUCUUAGUCUAAAAGAAAUUCUAAUUAUAAUAGAAUUGUAAAAAUUAAUUUUCUAGAAUCCAAAAAUCAGAUUUAAAAUUGGAAUUAAAUUCCACAAUUUGUGUGUACCAACUCUUUAUGUCGCGUUCGGAUUCUUCAAUGUGCGUGAAUCAAUUUCCGCGUCCCACUUGAACAUAUAUGCUGAAUAUGAAUUUGCCAUAAUGUUACUUUGGAAUCUGUGCAUUACUCCUUGCAUGAAUCAGAUUGUGAGAGAAUUAAAUUGCCUAUGCUGAGUAAUAAAAACCAUGGCCCACGUGUAUGUAAUGUAGCAAUGUAAUAUAUCUGCUGCAUGCUUUUUUUUCUCUUUUCCUGAAUUUGUGAUAUCUCCCACGUUGGCCCACAUGAGUUUUAAUGACUCCUAAUUAAAUGACUUAAUUGGGUCAACCCAAUAAUACUGGACUUGUCCUCCCUUGAUCCAAUAAUGCCCAAUUUGUCUUCAAAUUAUUUCUAAAUUCACAGAGCCCAUCAAUUGUACCUAAAAUAAAAAUAUAAGAAUAAUGAGUUUAUUUAGGCACAAAAUAAAUACAAAAGAUUAAGUAUUAAGGAAUAAAAAUAUAACAUAUUUCAUAUUCAUCAAAUUCCCCUACACUUAUCUUUUUACACGUCUUCGUGUAAACCAAAAAUUUGAUUUCCAGAAAAAUUAUAUUCAACCACAGUGUCAAAAGAUUUCAAGAUAUAAAUCAUGACUAUCAACACUAAAUUUGCAGAAAUCUAAUCAACGCUUUAUCAAUCAACUCACAAUUACCAACCUUACCAUUUCACCAAUGAAUUUCAUUAAAUCAAACUGUAGCCACAUAAGUUACUUUCCCAAAAUCAUCAUACUUACUCAACUUAGUUACCAUGGAACAAAAAUCGUGCACACUGACUCACAACCAAGAACAAAUUUUUCCUGCUUUUUAAUUUUUUUCAUAGAACCCUUUUUUUUAGCACAGAUGAAUGUAUUUUCAUGCUUCUUUUUUCGUAUUUUUUUUUCUCUUGACAUGUGCAAUGUCUCCUUUUCCUAGGCUUUUCAGAGUUACCCAUUAACGAACUUUCCACCUACAGGCUUACUUAUUCAAGUAACAAAGGCCACAAAAGUCGACUAGUCAAGCUGCUUUUAUCCAUCGCACUUUUCAGCGUGAAUACCGAUGCUUCCCGAGGCUUAGAUACCCAGUUAUUUCGCACAAUAGACAUUGAAGCAGAUUUUCAAUUUUUUUUUCCUUUUUUUUUUCAUUCAUCAUUUUUUUCACAUGGUUCUGCAACAACAUAAGCAAGUUAAACAGUUCUAAGUCAUGAAAUCAGUGCACAUAGACAACUCCACAAAUAACUUAGCCAAAUAAACAUGCUUCUAAUAUUCAAGUACUAAUGUAUCACAAAUUCAAUUCAAAUCAAUUACUAUGGAUCAUGGCUUAGUUGUCAUCAUUCAUUAACAAAUUAAGCAUCAACAGAUUCUAAAUUUUAUCAUCAAUUUUCAAUCUUUGACUUUAACCUUCGAACACAUAAGCAAAUAGAACCAUGGAAACCAAGUUUUCAGUUUUUUUUUUUUAACUUUUUUUUUUUAACUUCCCAUCAAAAUUGGAUUAUUAUUCCUACGUAAAAUAAAACCAAAAUCUCCCCCCCACAAUCAAACCGUACAUUGUCCCCAAUGUAAGAAAAUCAUGCAAAGAAGAAAAUACUACUAGCAAACAUGCAAUAAAAACAAAAAACUAAAAAGUAAAGGGAUAGAAAAAUCAAAUCUGAGAUCUUGGGUUGCCUCCCAAGCAGCUGCCCGUGUUUAACGUCUUUGGCUCGACGUCAUGUCUCUCUUCUCAGCUUUCAUAGAUUGGAUUGUCUAGCUCCACCAUCUCAAUAUUUUCUACCUGACGCCCCUCAUAAAAAGGCUUUAAUCUAUGUCCAUUCACCUUAAAGAUCUUGCUUGUGCUCGGGCUUUGAAUCUCGACUGCACUAUGAGGAAACACAUUAGUGAUAACAAAAGGACCAACCCAUCUAGAUAUUAAUUUACCUGGAAAUAACUUAAGCCGAGAAUGAUAUAGCAAAACUUUUUGUCCCAUAGUAAAGGUUUUCCGCACAAUCUGCUUAUCAUGAAAAGCUUUGGUCUUUUCCUUGUAAAUCUUUGAACUUUCAUAGGCUUCAUUCCUCAAUUCUUCUAACUCUUGUAACUGCAAUUUCCUGUGUACCCCAGCUGCCUCCAAACUCAUGUUACACUGCUUGAUUGCCUAAAAAUCCCUAUGCUCCAAUUCAACAGAUAAGUGGUAUGGUUUUCCAAACACAAUCCUGUAUGGUGACAUCCCAAUAGGUGUUUUGUACGCCGUUCUAUAGGCCCAAAGUGCAUCAUCUAAUCUCAUACUCCAAUCAUUUCUGCUCGGGUUGACUACCUUCUCCAAAAUGGAUUUGAUCUCUCGGUUAGACACCUCAGCUUGACCAUUACUCUACGGAUGGUAGGAUGUAGAAACCUUGUGCAGAACAUUGUAUUUCUUGAACAAAGCCGCUAACACCCUGUUGCAAAAGUGGGUUCCGCGAUCACUAAUGAUGGAUCGUGGUGUUCCAAACCUGACAAAUAUGUCAGUCCUAACAAAAUCUGCAACAACUUUGGAAUCGUCAGUCCUAGUGGCUUUAGCUUCCACCCAUUUUGAGACAUAAUCAACAGCCAAAAGAAUAUAUAAAUUCCCAAAAGAUGAAGGAAAAGGUCCCAUAAAAUCUAUACCCCAAACAUCAAAAAUUUCAACAACUAAUAUAGGGGUUUGGGGCAUUUGAUUUCGUUGAGAAAUAUUCCCCGUCCUUUGGCAAUUAACACAUGUUUUACAAAACAGAUAGGAAUCUUUAAAAAGCGAUGGCCAAUAAAAACCACUUUCUAAAACUUUAUUAGCAGUUCUUUUUGGACCAUCCCAAACAUAGUGUCUAGCAUCACUUUUCAACUUUCCCUUUUUGGAUUUAGAAAAUUCUUUAGGAAAAUGUGCACUUACCAAAUAAUUCACUAUAUCUGCAUACCAGGGAAUCUCAGCAUGGAUAAAAAGUAACUGCUCAUCCGGGAAAGAAUCAUGUAACGGUAGCUCCUCUUCAUCUCUCAAUAACCUACUCAAGUGAUCCGCUACUAAGUUGUCCGCACCUUUCUUAUCCUUGAUCUCUAAGUCGAAUUCUUGUAGUAGCAGAAUCCAUCGAAUAAUCCUUGGUUUAGAAUAUUUCUUGGUGAGCAAAUACCUGAGAGCAGCAUGGUCAGAAUAAACUAUAACUUUAGUACCAAGCAAAUAAGAUCGAAAUUUAUCUAAAGUAAAAACCACAGAUAAAAGUUCUUUUUCAGUUGUGGAAUAGUUUAUCUGAGCCUCAUUCAAAGUCCUAGAAGCAUAGUAGAUGGCAUGAACGGCUUUGUCAAUCCUUUGUCCCAAAACAGCCCCCACUGCAUAGUUGCUUGCGUCACACAUGAUCUCAAAUGGCAUCUUCCAAUUUGGCGGUUGAAUGACAUGAGCAGAAAUUAAUAAUUUCUUUAAAGUGUCAAAAGCCUCCUUGCAUUCAUCAUCAAACUGAAAGUCCACAUCUUUUUGCAGCAACUUACAUAAGGGUAAUGCCAUCUUCGAGAAGUCCUUGAUAAAUAUUCGAUAAAAUCCUGCAUGACCAAGAAAAGAGCGAAUCUCCCGCACGCUGACGGGGUAAGGCAAAGCAGAUAUAACAUCUAUCUUAGCUUUAUCAACUUCAAGACCUUUAGAUGACACAACAUGACCAAGUACUAUUCCCUGUUCUACCAUGAAAUGACAUUUUUCCCAAUUUAAAAGAAGAUUAGUUUCCAUGCAUCUAUCUAGAACACGAUUUAAAUUAUCUAAGCAUGCAUCCACAGAAUCACCAUGAAUUGUGAAAUCAUCCAUAAAAACCUCGAUGCAUUCUUCUAAAAGAUAUGAAAAAAUGCUUACCAUGCAUCGUUGAAAAGUACUUGGGGCAUUACACAGUCCAAAAGACAUCCGUCGAUAGGCAAAAGUACCAAAGGGACAUGUGAAUGUGGUCUUCUCUUGGUCCUCGGGUGCAAUCACAAUCUGGUUAUAUCCUAAAAAACCAUAUAGAAAACAAUAAUAAGUGUGCCCAGCUAAUCUCUCCAAUAUUUGAUCAAUAAAAGGAAGAGAAAAGUGAUCUUUUCUUGUUACAGCAUUCAAUUUUCUAUAAUCUAUACACACUCUCCACCCUGUUUUCAUUCGUGUGGGCACCAACUCAUUAUCAUCGUUCUUGACAACGGUGAUUCCGAAUUUAUUUGGGACUACCUGUACUGGACUCACCCAUUGACUAUCGGAGAUGGGAUAGAUGAUACCGGCACCAAGAAAUUUGAGCACUUCUUUUUUCACCACCUCCAUCAUGGGUGGAUUCAAUCUCCUUUGCGCAUCUCUUGUAGGUUUAGCUCCAUCCUCUAACAAUAUCCGAUGCAUGCACAUGGUAGGACUAAUACCCUUGAUAUCCGCUAUUGUCCAACCAAAAACUGUAACAUGGUCCCUUAGGACUCUCAGCAAUUUUUCUUCCUGCACCUUGGUUAGAUUACUAGAAAUAAUUACAGGCAAAGUGUCAUUAGUCCCCAAAUAUGCAUAUUUCAAAUGAGCAGGUAAUUGUUUCAAUUCUAGAGUUGGGGCUUGUAUAACAGAAGGUAAUAACUUUUGAUGAGAAACAGGAAAUUGAAUAGAAUAUAUCGUUAAUUUAUUUGAGAAUUUUGGCAAUGAAUGUAAUGCAGCUACAUUUUCUUUCAAUUCUUGGGUUUGCGCAAUCUCUUCUUCCCUGUCCAUGUCCAAACUGUUGGUGAUUGCAAUUUCCAAAUUGUCCCUAUGUAGUUGUUUAAAAGCUCUAUGCACCAAGGAGUCUCUCACAUCGAUAGCAAAAACCUGUCCUAUAUCACUAGGGUACCUCAUGGCAUCAUAGAUGUUAAACUGAAUUUUCUCACCAUCAAACUCCAUAGUCAAGGUCCCAUUAUGCACAUCAAUCAUGGUUCUCGCUGUUUUUAGGAAGGGUCUUCCUAACAAGAUGUGGGAAGGAUUUGGUGAUGUAUCAUCUUCCAUAUCCACAAUGUAAAAAUCUGCAGGAAAGAUUAGUUCGUUCACCUGCAAUAAGACAUCUUCAAUUACCCCUCGGGGGUAGGUGUUAGUACGAUCUGCCAAUUGGAUAAUCACACCAGUAUUUUUUAAAGGGCCUAGAUUUAAGGAAGCAUAAACAGAUAAAGGCAUAACAUUAAUUGAAGCUCCUAAAUCUAGCAUGGCUUUUUCAAAUCUGGUGUUUCCUAUUUUGCAUGGGAUUGUGAACAUUCCUGGAUCUUUACAUUUAGGAGGCAUUUUUCUUUGAAGAACAGCAGAUACAUUUUCUCCAACUGUGACUCUUUCAUCAUUUUGCAAUUUUCUUUUAUUAGUGCAUAAUUCUUUUAAAAAUUUAGCAUACCGUGGUACUUGUUUAAUUGCAUCAAGAAGAGGGAUGUUCACUUCUACUUUUCUAAAAGUUUCCAAAAUUUCUUUUUCUUUUUCAUUGUUCUUUGAAGUUUUAGAAAUUCUGGAAGGAAAGGGAAGAGGAAUGUUUUUAAGCUGAUUAGGAGGUUUAGGUUGUACCUUGGAUUUUUCUGUUCCCUCCUUAGCUGCUUCCUUCUUGAACUCUACGGGGGUCGGUGGUGUAUCCAACUGUGUUCCAUUCCGUAAAGUUAUGGCACUUGCAUUCUCCCUUGGGUUGACUACUGUUUGAGAUGGUAAUUUUCCUGAGCCUCUAGAUUCCAAUAUCCCCACAGUUGUAGCCAGUUGUCCUACUUGGUUCCUCAAAUCUUGAACCGAAGUUUUUGUCUCUUGCUGGAACUGCUGUGUCUGAUUCAUGAACUGUUGUGUCUGUCCCAUGAAUGCUUUGAACAUAUCCUCCAAUGAUGUUCCAGUAGGUGCAGGGACUACUUGCUUCGGUUGAUAUUGAGGUUGGGUUGGUUGGAAGCCCUGCUGCCUAGGUGGAAAUGCAGGUGGUGCCGCUUGCUUGCUCCCAUAACUCAGACUUGGAUGAUCCCUCCAUCCUGGGUUAUAUGUGUUUGAGUACGGAUCAUACUUUUUCUGAGGUGGUGGCUGAUAAUUUCCCAUUGCAUUAGCUUGUUGCACAGCCUCGUCAUCUUGUAAUGUUGGGCAUUCAUCUGUAUUGUGAUUUGGUUGUAGACAUAUUCCACAAACCUUUGCAAUUGGCAAUUGACCUGUAGCUAAUUGUCUAACCAUAGCAGUUAAUUCAGAAAUUUGUUGACCAUAAUCACAAGUGCUUACCUCGCUUACCCUUACUGGUGCAUGAUUUGUUCUAGUGCCAUAUUGUUGCGAGUUUGCUGCCAUGUUUGCAAUUAAAUUCCUUGCCGCCUCUGGGGUCUUGUCAAAUAGUGCUCCUCCGCUAGCUGCAUCGAUCAUGCUUCUAUCCAUCGGUACCAACCCUUCGUAGAAAUAUUGGAUCAGGUGUUGUUCAUCUAUUUGAUGCGGUGGACAGCUAGAACAAAGCUUUU
This 9421-nucleotide long non-coding RNA is filed under the name Panax ginseng (ginseng). RNAcentral's name for it is "long non-coding RNA (PGIN_LNC006797)". Lineage: Eukaryota; Viridiplantae; Streptophyta; Magnoliopsida; Apiales; Araliaceae. The record is from RNAcentral.